Molecule: ribosomal RNA, 490 nt
Filed under: uncultured bacterium
Lineage: Bacteria
Description: partial 16S ribosomal RNA
Rfam family: Bacterial small subunit ribosomal RNA
Source: RNAcentral
AUUGAACGCUGGCGGCAGGCCUAACACAUGCAAGUCGAACGGUAACAGGAAGAAGCUUGCUUCUUUGCUGACGAGUGGCGGACGGGUGAGUAAUGUCUGGGAAACUGCUUGAUGGAGGGGGUUAACUACUGGAAACGGUAGCUAAUACCGCAUAACGUCUCAAGACCAAAGAGGGGGACCUUCGGGCGUCUUGCCAGCGGAUGUGCCCGGAUUGGAUUAGCUAGUAGGUGGGGUAACGGCUCACCUAGGCGACGAUCCCUAGCGGGUCUGAGAGGGUGACCAGCCACACUGGAACUGAGACACGGUCCAGACUCCUGCGGGAGGCAGCAGUGGGGAAUAUUGCGCAAUGGGCGCAAGCCUGAUGCAGCCAUGCCGCGUGUAUGAAGAAGGCCUUCGGGUUGUAAAGUACUUUCAGCGGGGAAGAAGGGAUUAAAGUUAAUACCUUUGCUCAUUGACGUUACCCGCAGAAGAAGCACCGGCUAACUCCGUG